Molecule: long non-coding RNA, 2659 nt
Organism: Dermochelys coriacea (leatherback sea turtle)
Lineage: Eukaryota; Metazoa; Chordata; Testudines; Dermochelyidae
Exons: 2
Source: RefSeq, a predicted model, not a curated record
GCAGAGAAGCAGCCAAUCAGAGGGGCCGCUGGAGGGGAAUAAGAAGGAGUGACCAAUAAGGGGCCAGAUAAAAGGCAAGCAGCAAAACAGAGUCUUCAGUUGCUGUGUGGAGCUUGAUGAGGGAGAACUGGGUGCCUGGCUGGCUAGACAAACAGGAGCAGGACCAUAGACAGCUCACUGCAAAGAGCUCACCAGACAGAACCACCCAGGGAAGGUUGCCAAAGACUGUGUGCCUGGCUGGCUGGCUAGAAUAGCAGCAGGACCAUGAAAAGGUCAGUGUGGGAACUGAGCACAGAACCUGACCAGACCAGAUAAGGGUACCGAGAUGAGUCCUGCUAGUCUGGUUGCAGACUGAGCCCAGGGAGGGCUGCUGAAAAAGACAGCAGCUGAGGGUACCAAGAUGGGCUCCGGCUGGGUGGCUGAAGAAGGCAGUGCCUCUGGGGAAAAAGCCUAAGAACUACAGCCCCAUACCAGGGCCAGGAUAAGAACUCUGGAUUCUAUACUCUGGAAGUGGGGACAGCGUAUGCAACUUGGCUAGAGGGCUGAGUUGCCGAAGACAAGUUGAGAGAACCAUUGGCUGGGGGUUGCUCACAAGAGGUGGGUGCCACCCUGUUGAAAAAACUAAAACCAAACGCAGGGUCACACCCAACCAACCAAAGGGGACCCCCGCAUGAUGUGAGUGCCACCCCUGAAAAGAACUGUGACUGCAGGUACAUUGGCCAAAGAAAGGGGGAACUCAUGAGAGGCGGGUGCCAACCCCAUUACAAAGACCAUGCAUGGAUAAGCUUUGCAAGAACUCAGUUGGAAGAGAGCAACGUUUAAGGGAUUUUCUGCAAAAGGAUUUUGCUGUAUAUGAAAGACUAGGAAUUACCUCCACAGCAGCUCAGUCUCAGCCUCAGUUUGUUUGCAUUGAACCUUAGAAGAUUUGGUCUCCUGACAGCAGCUGCUUGGCAGAAUGAGGGAAUGGAGCUGUGUGCUGGAGAAGAAAACAAGAUAAAUCACAAGGGAAGGAUAAAGUAAGAAACCUCCAUGCAACAGCCAGAAAGCUGAGGGAGGGAUAAGGGGACACAAACCAACCCUUGCAGCAACCAGGAAACUUCUGAAUGAGAGCAAUGAACAGAGACUACUCAUGCUUGCUUCACACAGCAGGCUGGGGGCUGGAAGGUGUUGGCUUCUCACCUGGGUAAUGACAUGGGACAGUAGGAAGUUCUCAUCUUUCACAGACAUUUGGCUAGCGGGAUUAGUCCUCUGUCUGUGAUGUGUAUGGUAAAAUUUCACCACUUCUAUGUGUGAGUAGGUGUGUAGUAGUGGGGGCAUGGAUGGGUGUAGAAUACGAGAGGGCACUGGAGGGAAGUGAGAGAAGAAAGAUGAGAGAAAAUGUAAGGGCUUUGAAUCAGCCAGAAUAGGGAUUCAAAGCUGGAUCUAUAGGAGUGCCCUAAUGACUAGGCCAGGGCUACACACAGGCCCAGAAGGACUUUUAUGUAGGGCUCAAUCUGGUGGACUCAGGUGGUGCCUACUGGAUUGGGCCCUACAGGGGAAAUAGAUGGGGAAAAGCCUAGCUUGAGACUCUUGCCAGCACUUAGUUGCCAAGUGAAAGGAUGUAGGUGGCUCCACUUGUACCCAGUGGCAAAAGCUUAAGCACCUAGGAACUUCAGCUGGCAGUUGAGCAAUGUUUUUUUGUGAAUGGGAGUGGGCCGAAGUGUUGGUCUUAGGCACCUUCAGAGGGAGUUAACCACCUAAGUCCUUUUGUGAAUCUAGCCAUUAGGGGGUGGUGCCUUCCUGCUGUUUAUUGUUGUCAUACUCAGCGCUGAUAGUAUUUGCAGCAUGCAAAUGAGUGUGCCAAAGGAGAGACAUGUUUCUCUGACUGCAUAGACCACCAGAGAGAUUGAACAGACUAUGCAUCGUAAUACUGAUUGUCAGAUUUUUCCACUUCAGAGAUCCCUCUGAAUCGUACUACUGUUUUGUAUCUGUGCACACUACUGCAUGAUGAACUAGAAAAUGCUGCUAAUACUAAGCAGGUACUGUUUGUUCCCCACUAUGUGCUUGCAGCACUUUGUCUAUAGGAAUGUAUCACUUCAACAGGGCUUGUGCUUCUUAUACAAAUGAUACCUUUGUGAGGGUCCCGCUGUCCAUUACUAUUUCAGCUGUUGCCAUGACCUUCAAUUUUUUUUAUGGAAGGAAGGAGGUAUUAACAACUCCCAGAUAAUGUAUCAGAGCCAGCGUUGUACACUUCUAUAUAACCUGAUGCUGACCUCCCCCUACUGCAAUGGACUGGCAUGUGGUUUCAUAUCAAAGGGACACCUUUUACUAUUACUAAAAUAUUUAAUUUGUCAUACCCCCAGGCAUCAUAAAAACCAGGGUCCUAUUAGGGUGGGCCUAAGCAAGCACAGACGUUUCCUGUUGACGGGGAGUAUGGGAAACGGGCCACCACUUAUCUUAUGUGCACGGCUGCAGCGUGCACCUGUACAGCUGGCUACUAGCGCUCAUGCCCCGUUGCCUGAGCGUCCUUUCCUGGACGGUUGGUCCUGGUACUCACGGGCGAUCACCGCUCCCUGGCUUCCUGUGCUUCCUACCACGACGGUUCCACAAACCUCCCUGCCUAGCCCAGUGUCCCCCGGUACCCGUGUUGGGCCCGCUGCCCCAGUACCGGCCCCCUGCU